Molecule: long non-coding RNA, 599 nt
Filed under: Prunus dulcis (almond)
Lineage: Eukaryota; Viridiplantae; Streptophyta; Magnoliopsida; Rosales; Rosaceae
Description: sRNA ncRNA
Source: RNAcentral
AUUGAAUGUACUCCGUCUCGUUUCUUCUCCAGAUCUGCAAUUCUCCUUGGUUGUAGGGGAUCUCCCCUGGAACCACCCCCUUCGGUUAAUAAUCCGGGCCUCUCUCCCCCCCGUUAUGUUGUGGAGAGGUUUUCCCUCCCAACUUUUGUUGGGUUUUGUUUGCUCCUUGCUAUUGCAAGGGUUUGUUUCUUCCCUUUUCUUGAGGGUUUGUUUCCCAAUCUUUUGGGGCUAGUUAUUGGUUGAUCUUGCUAGAUAUGCUACUUGUGCGGUAGAUCUAGUGUUAGAUCUCUCUGUACUGGAGGUGGAGCUGCUGAAUUUGAUGGAUCUACUUUUAUUAUGCUUGGGGAUCAAGGGGGAUUAGGAGAUGCUGUGAUAUUAUUUGGAAUGUCCUGGUGGAAGUUGAGCGGUUAUGCCCUCCACUCUUGGGGUGUUUCCUGUCCCAUAAAGUUUGAGAGUUUGUUCUCUAUCUUGAUCUUUUUUAAGCACUGGUUGCUGCAAAAUUAGGGUCCUCAUUUGUAACUCCUUGUUAGCUCGGUUUCAAGUUGUAUAUUUAUUUUCUAACUAUUUUGUAAUACUUGUGCUUAGUUGGUGUUGUUACC